Molecule: ribosomal RNA, 497 nt
Filed under: uncultured bacterium
Lineage: Bacteria
Description: partial 16S ribosomal RNA
Rfam family: Bacterial small subunit ribosomal RNA
Source: RNAcentral
GAUGAACGCUGGCGGCGUGCCUAAUACAUGCAAGUCGAGCGAACAGACGAGGAGCUUGCUCCUCUGACGUUAGCGGCGGACGGGUGAGUAACACGUGGAUAACCUCCUUAAAAGACUGGGAUAACUUCGGAAAACCGGCGCUAAUCCCGUAUAAUCUCUUGAACCGCAGGGUUCAUUAGUGAAAGACGGUUUUGCUGUAUCUACUAGCGGGAUCCGCGCCGCAUUAGCUAGUUGGUAAGGUAACGGCUUACCAAGGCGACGAUGCGUAGCCGACCUGCGAGGGUGAUCGGCCACACGGGAACUGAGCCACGGUCAAUACUCCUACGGGAGGCAGCAGUAGGGAAUCUUCCGCAAUGGGCGAAAGCCUGACGGAGCAACGCCGCGUGAGUGAUGAAGGUCUUCGGAGCGUAAAACUGUGUUAUUAGUGAAGAACAAAUGUGUAAGUAACUAUGCACGUCUUGACGGUACCUAAUCAGAAAGCCACGGCUAACUACGUG